Molecule: transfer RNA, 67 nt
Filed under: Caulerpa lentillifera
Lineage: Eukaryota; Viridiplantae; Chlorophyta; Ulvophyceae; Bryopsidales; Caulerpaceae
Description: tRNA-Gly
Source: RNAcentral
UGGCUCCGGACACCAACGCUUAGCCUUGGCAAAGCCAAGCGAAGCCUUCGCUUCGCUUGCCGAAGCC